CGUGGAUACCGACGAUAUGCUUCGGGGAGCUGGAAACAAGCUUUGAUCCGGAGGUUUCCGAAUGGGGCAACCCAGUAACUCUAACGCCAAUCCAUAACGUUAGAGAGCCAACCCGGCGAACUGAAACAUCUUAGUAGCCGGAGGAAAAGAAAGAAAACUCGAUUCCCCGAGUAGCGGCGAGCGAAACGGGAACAGCCUAAACCAACGAGCUUGCUUGUUGGGGUUGUGGGACAGCAACAUGGAAUUGAGCGGCUAGACGAAGUAGUGGAAUGCUACACCAGAGAAGGUGAAAGUCCUGUAGUCAAAAGCUUAACAAUCCUAGCUGUAUCCCGAGUAGUCCGGAGCACGUGAAAUUCCGGAUGAAUCUGCGAGGACCACCUCGUAAGGCUAAAUACUCCUGUGUGACCGAUAGCGCAUAGUACCGCGAGGGAAAGGUGAAAAGAACCCCGGAAGGGGAGUGAAAUAGAACAUGAAACCGUAGGCUUACAAGCAGUCGAAGCUCGAUUUAACGAGUAACGGCGUGCCUGUUGAAGAAUGAGCCGGCGACUUAUAGGUACUGGCAGGUUAAGACGAAAAUGUCGAAGCCAUAGCGAAAGCGAGUCUGAUAAGGGCGUUCGUCAGUAUUUAUAGACCCGAACCCGGGUGAUCUAACCAUGGCCAGAAUGAAGCUUGGGUAACACCAAGUGGAGGUUCGCACCGACCGAUGUUGAAAAAUCGGCGGAUGAGCUGUGGUUAGGGGUGAAAUGCCAAUCGAACCCGGAGCUAGCUGGUUCUCCCCGAAAUAUGUUGAGGCAUAGCGGUUGUGACUAUAGCAGGGGGGUAAAGCACUGAUUCGGUGCGGGCUGCGAGAGCGGUACCAAAUCGAGUCAAACUCUGAAUACCCUGUGUACACACAGCCAGUCAGACGGUGGGGGAUAAGCUUCAUCGUCGAAAGGGAAACAGCCCAGACCACCAGCUAAGGUCCCUAAAUUGUCACUAAGUGGUAAAGGAGGUGGGGAUGCAUAGACAACCAGGAGGUUUGCCUAGAAGCAGCCAUCCUUAAAAGAGUGCGUAAUAGCUCACUGGUCAAGCGUUCCUGCGCCGAAAAUGAAUGGGACUAAGUGACGUACCGAAGCUGUGGACUUACUACGUAAGUGGUAGGGGAGCGUUCUGCAUUAGUUUGAAGCACUAGCGUGAGCAGGUGUGGACGAAGCAGAAGUGAGAAUGUCGGCUUGAGUAGCGAAAACAUUGGUGAGAAUCCAAUGCCCCGAAACCCCAAGGGUUCCUCCGGAAGGCUCGUCCGCGGAGGGUUAGUCGGGACCUAAGGCGAGGCCGAAAGGCGUAGUCGAUGGACAACUGGUCAAUAUUCCAGUACUCAUCUUGGUUUGUGCAGAGGGACGGAGAAGGCUAAAUCAGCCGGAUGUUGGUUACCGGUUCAACUGUCCGAGGUGUUGAGGAGCGGUGAAAACGCUCUGAGCUGAGGCAGGAGUACGACCCACUACGGUGGGGAAGUGAUUGAUGUCAUGCUUCCAAGAAAAGCUCUAAACACGCUAAGCCAAGAUACCCGUACCCGAAACCGACACAGGUGGGGGGGUAGAGUAUACCAAGGGGCGCGAGAUAACUCUCUCUAAGGAACUCGGCAAAAUGGCCCCGUAACUUCGGGAGAAGGGGUGCCACCGAGAGGUGGCCGCAGUGAAGAGAUCCAGGCGACUGUUUACCAAAAACACAGGUCUCCGCUAAGUCGUAAGACGAUGUAUGGGGGCUGACGCCUGCCCAGUGCCGGAAGGUUAAGGAAGCUGGUUAGCGUAAGCGAAGCUAGCGACUGAAGCCCCGGUGAACGGCGGCCGUAACUAUAACGGUCCUAAGGUAGCGAAAUUCCUUGUCGGGUAAGUUCCGACCCGCACGAAAGGCGUAACGAUCUGGAUGCUGUCUCGGAGAGAGGCUCGGCGAAAUAGAAGUGUCUGUGAAGAUGCGGACUACCUGCACCCGGACAGAAAGACCCUAUGAAGCUUUACUGUAGCUUGGAAUUGGGUUCGGGCUUUGCUUGCGCAGGAUAGGUGGGAGACGUUGAAGUAUUCCUUGCGGGGAAUAUGGAGUCAUCGGUGAGAUACCACUCUGGCAAGGCUAGAAUUCUAACUCUCUGCCGUUAUCCGGCGAGGGAACAGUUUCAGGUGGGCAGUUUGACUGGGGCGGUCGCCUCCUAAACGAUAACGGAGGCGCGCAAAGGUUCCCUCAGGCUGGUCGGAAAUCAGCCGUAGAGUGUAAAGGCAUAAGGGAGCUUGACUGCAAGACCUACAAGUCGAGCAGAGACGAAAGUCGGCCUUAGUGAUCCGACGGUUCCGCGUGGAAGGGCCGUCGCUCAACGGAUAAAAGUUACUCUAGGGAUAACAGGCUGAUCUCCCCCAAGAGUUCACAUCGACGGGGAGGUUUGGCACCUCGAUGUCGGCUCAUCGCAACCUGGGGCGGUAGUACGUCCCAAGGGUUGGGCUGUUCGCCCAUUAAAGCGGUACGUGAGCUGGGUUCAGAACGUCGUGAGACAGUUCGGUCCAUAUCCGGUGCAGGCGUAGGAGCAUUGAGAGGAGUCCUCCUUAGUACGAGAGGACCGGGAGGAACGCACCUCUGGUGUACCUGUUAUCGUGCCAACGGUAAACGCAGGGUAGCCAUGUGCGGAGAGGAUAACC
RNAcentral lists this ribosomal RNA (2660 nucleotides) under Parathermosynechococcus lividus C1. Its description in RNAcentral is "bacterial LSU rRNA". It matches the Rfam family "Bacterial large subunit ribosomal RNA". Lineage: Bacteria; Bacillati; Cyanobacteriota; Cyanophyceae; Acaryochloridales; Thermosynechococcaceae. The record is from RNAcentral.